GAUGAACGCUGGCGGCGUGCCUAAUACAUGCAAGUCGAGCGAACAGACGAGGAGCUUGCUCCUCUGACGUUAGCGGCGGACGGGUGAGUAACACGUGGAUAACCUACCUAUAAGACUGGGAUAACUUCGGGAAACCGGAGCUAAUACCGGAUAAUAUAUUGAACCGCAUGGUUCAAUAGUGAAAGACGGUUUUGCUGUCACUUAUAGAUGGAUCCGCGCCGCAUUAGCUAGUUGGUAAGGUAACGGCUUACCAAGGCAACGAUGCGUAGCCGACCUGAGAGGGUGAUCGGCCACACUGGAACUGAGACACGGUCCAGACUCCUACGGGAGGCAGCAGUAGGGAAUCUACCGCAAAGGGCGAAAGCUUGACGGAGCAACGCCGCGUGAGUGAUGAAGGUCUUCGGAUCGUAAAACUCUGUUAUUAGGGAAGAACAAAUGUGUAAGUAACUAUGCACGUCUUGACGGUACCUAAUCAGAAAGCCACGGCUAACUACGUG
RNAcentral lists this ribosomal RNA (497 nucleotides) under uncultured bacterium. RNAcentral describes it as "partial 16S ribosomal RNA". It matches the Rfam family "Bacterial small subunit ribosomal RNA", at positions 28 to 507 of the family's 1533-position model. The record is from RNAcentral.